AUGUGUUCUAAGCUCCUUUCUGAGCCUGAGGUUCUAGGUUCUAGGCUCCCUCCCUCCUCUGCCAUUCUCUGUUCUGAGGUUCCUUCCACCAACCCUACCCUCCCCCCCGGCCAUCUCUGUGUCUCUGUGGCACGUUCUGCGCCUCUCAGGGCUCUUUUCGCCCCUGGUGUCUCUGUGGCACGUUCUGUGCCUCUCGGGGCUCUUUUCGCCCCGGCCGUCUCUGUGGCACGUUCUAGCACCCUCUCAGGGCUCUUUUCGCCCCUGGUGUCUCUGUGGCACGUUCUGCGCCUCUUGGGGCUCUUUUCACCCCUGGUGUCUCUGUGGCACAUUCUAGCACCUCUCGGGGCUCUUUUUGCCCCCGGCCGUCUCUGUGGCACGUUCUGCGCCUCUCGGGGCUCUUUUCGCCCCUGGUGUCUCUGUGUCUCUGAGGCACGUUCUGCGCCUCUCGGGGCUCUUUUCGCCCCUGGAUA
This 470-nucleotide long non-coding RNA is filed under the name Monodelphis domestica (gray short-tailed opossum). RNAcentral's name for it is "lncRNA (ENSMODG00000043229.1)". Lineage: Eukaryota; Metazoa; Chordata; Mammalia; Didelphimorphia; Didelphidae. The record is from RNAcentral.